Molecule: ribosomal RNA, 2756 nt
Filed under: Macaca mulatta (Rhesus monkey)
Lineage: Eukaryota; Metazoa; Chordata; Mammalia; Primates; Cercopithecidae
Description: eukaryotic LSU rRNA
Rfam family: Eukaryotic large subunit ribosomal RNA
Source: RNAcentral
CCCACUGCGCUGGGCGGGUGGAGCAUGAAUGCAUGUGUUAGGCACCAAAAGAUGAUAAACUAUGCCUGGGCAGGGCGAAGCCAGAGGAAACUCUCGUGGGGGUCUGUAGUGGUCCUGACAUGCAAGUCGGUCGUCUGAUCUGGGUAUAGGGGCAAAAGACUAAUGGAACUAUCUAGUAGCUGGUUCCCUCUGAAGUUUUCCUAAGGAUAGCUAGUGCUCUCGCAAAAACCCCAUGCCAUGCAGUUAUUUGGUAAAGCGAAUGAUUUGGGGUCUUGGAGUCGAAAUGAUCUCAACCAAUUCUCAAACUUUAAAUGGGUUAGAAGACCAGCUCAAUGGUGUGGAGCCAGAUACGGAAUGUGAGUGCCUAGUGGGCAACUUUUGGUAAGCAGAACUGAUGCUGUGGGAUGAACGAAAUGCCAUGUUAAGGUGCCUGAUUCUGAUGCCCAUUAGACCCCAGAAAAUGUGCUGGUUGAUAUAGAGAGCAGGACGGUGGGCAUGGAAGUCAGAAUCCGCUAAGGAGUGUUUAACAACAACAAAUCAACUAGCCCUGAAAAACGGAUGGUACUGAAACAUUGGGCCCAUACCCGGCUGUUGCCAGCAGUUGAGAGUGGAUGGGAGUGGUGAGGGUGGUCACCCCCGCUGGAGCCCUGUGGAUGCUGGGAGGGCUGCUGCGGUGAGCCCUGAAGCCUUGGACGUGAGCCUGGGUGGAGCUGCUCCAGAUGCAGAUCUUGGUGGUAGUAGCAAAUAUUAAAAUGAGAACUUUGAAGGCCGAAGUGGAGAAGGGUUCCAGUUGAACGUGGGUCACUUGCUCCUGAGACAUGGGCAAGUACCAUUCCGAAGGGAUGGAUGAUGACUUCCAUUGCCCCCGGCUGAUGGAAAGGGAGUCAAGUUCAGAUUUCUGAAUCCGGAGUGACAGAGAUGGGCACUAUGAGGCAUUCAGGGAGGUAAUGGAACUGAUUCUGGAGAAACUGGUGGGAGCCCAGGGGAGAGCUCUUUUUGUGAAGAGCAGGGCGCCCUGUAAUGGAUUCACCCUUAGACAGGGGCCUGUGCCUUGGAAAGAAUCACAGUUCAAGUGGCAUCUGGUGAGCUCUCACAGGCCCUUGAAAAUCUAGGAGAGAGGGUGUAAAUCUCACACUGGGCUGUAACCAUAUCCACAGCAGGUCUCCAAGGUAAACAACCUCUGGCAUGUUAGAACAACAUAGGUAAGGGAAAUCAGCAAGCUAGAUCAGUAACCUCAGGGUAAGAAUUUGCUCUAAGAGCUUUGCCAGUCCGGCUGCGGCUUGAAGCGGGGCUGGGUGCAGGCAUUGGUUGGAUGAAGUGCUGGUACUCCACGCCCCAACGCUAGCAGCACCCCUCUGCAGACAUCCCCCAGCCCACCUCGCCAUACCUUCCUCUUCACUAUCCCUCCCUACCUCACUAUUGCUGGUUCCUGGCGGCCCAUUUAGAAAUGAUGCAGACCACGGGAAUCUGACUAUAUAAAACAAAGCAUGGUGAAGGCCCGUGGUGGGUGUUGACACAAUGUCAAUUCUACCCAGUGCUCUGAAUGUCAAAGUGAAGAAAUUCAAUGAAGCACGAGUAAAUGGCGGGAGUAACUAUGUCUCUCUUAAGUGUAGCCAAAUGCCUCAUCAUCUAAUUAGUGAUGCACAUGAAUGGAUGGGCAAGAUUCCCACUGUUCUUACCUGCUAUCCAGCGAAACCACAGCCAAAGGAAUGGGCUUGACAGAAUCAGCAGGGAACGAAGACCCUAUUGAGACUGACUCUAGUCUGGCACGAUGAAGAGACAUGAGAGGUGUAGAAUAAGUGAAAGACCCCUGCACCCCUCUGUUUCUCUGAGGAGAUGGGGUGAGGUCCACUGACCUUGUGGGCUGCCAGUGAAAUCCCACUACCCUGAUCAUUUUUUCACUGACCUGGUGAAGUUGGGGCUGGGUAGGUGAGCCACAAGGGGCCCACACUUUUGGCACCAAGCACCUGGCCACAUGCUGGCUGGAUGUUAACUGCUCCAGGAAUAGUGCCAGGUGCAGAGUUGGACUGGUGCUGCACACCUGUCAAACGGUAAUGCAGGUGUCUGAAGGUGAGUGCAGGGAGUACCAAAACCUCCCAUGGAGCAGAAGGGCAGAAGUUGCUUGAUCUUGAUUUUCAGUACGAAAGCAGGGCCUCAUGAUCCUUUUGAUGUUUUGUUUGAGUUUUAAGCAGGACGUGUCAGAGAAGACACCACAGGGAUAACUGCCUUGUAGUGGCCAAGAGUUCAUAGCAACAUUGCUUUUUGAUCCUUUGGUGCUGGAUCUUCCUAUUGUGAAGCAGAAUUCACCAAGCAUUGGAUGGUUCACCCAGUAACAAGGAACCUGAGCUUAGUUUAGAACAUCAUGAGACAGGUUAGUUUUACACAACAGUCUUUUAAACAAGGGUCUUCCCAUCUCAGUCUCACGAGUACCUGGGACUACUGGGACCUUCUUCUUCUGUAUUUUUUCUAACCACCAUUUCAGUUUGUUUCCACAAUACUUAGAGUAACUUGCUGUGAUUUUUCAUUGUUCUUUUCUCUCUCCAUUCUCAUAUGCUCCUUCCUACACACUGAAGUUGACCUUUGGUUUAUUUUUUGUCAUAGUUCACACUGGUUAUGACACACACACACACACACACAAAGUGAGAGAGAGAGAGACAGGAGUUGUCAAUUGUGAUAUUAAAUAUCUUUUAUUAUUAUUAACUUCUGCUUAAUUAUUUCAUCUUUAAGAUUGUUGUUUGAUAUUGUUAUAUACUUAC